RNAcentral lists this ribosomal RNA (800 nucleotides) under uncultured bacterium. RNAcentral describes it as "bacterial SSU rRNA". It matches the Rfam family "Bacterial small subunit ribosomal RNA", at positions 8 to 833 of the family's 1533-position model. The record is from RNAcentral.
AGAGUUUGAUCCUGGCUCAGAAUGAACGUUGGCGGCGUGGAUUAGGCAUGCAAGUCGAGCGAGGAAACAUGUAGCAAUACGUGUUAUUCGAGCGGCGUAAGGGGCAGUAAUACCUGGGAACGUACCCUGAGGUCGGGGAUAGCUGCUGGAAACGGCGAGUAAUACCCGAUGAUCUCGAGAGAGCAAAGGCUUGCCGCCUUCGGAGCGGCCCAGGCGAUAUUAGCUAGUUGGUGGGGUAAUGGCCUACCAAGGCAUAGAUGUCUAGCGGGUGUGAGAGCACGACCCGCGCCACUGGCACUGAGACACUGGCCAGACACCUACGGGUGGCUGCAGUCGAGAAUCUUCGGCAAUGAGCGCAAGCUUGACCGAGCGACGCCGCGUGCGGGAUGAAGGCCUUCGGGUUGUAAACCGCUUUGGUCCGAAAGAAAGGGAAACUUGAUCGAUCGGAGAAACAAGGACGGGCUAAGUUCGUGCCAGCAGCCGCGGUAAGACGAACCGUCCAAACGUUAUUCGGAAUCACUGGGCUUAAAGGGCGCGUAGGCGGCCGAGCGGGUCACGGGUGAAAUCCCCCAGCUUAACUGGGGAACUGCCCUUGAUACCACUGCGGCUCGAGGAAGGAAGGGGCAAUCGGAACUGUCGGUGGAGCGGUGAAAUGCGUUGAUAUCGACAGGAACGCCGGUGGCGAAAGCGGAUUGCUGGUCCUUUUUUGACGCUGAGGCGCGAAAGCCAGGGGAGCAAACGGGAUUAGAUACCCCGGUAGUCCUGGCCUUAAACGAUGAGAACUAGGUAGUGGGUCCGAC